CAUUUUUCAUCAUGUUCCCUGGAUGGGAUACCAGAGCUGUCCACCAAGAAUGUGCAGCCUCUUCUGGAGGUCUUCCAUGGAUUCACCGUGACCAAGGAAACAAGCUGUUACCUAGCAACAUGGCCCUUCAGGAGGCUGGAAUACAGUGGCACAAUCUCAGCUCACUGCAACCUCCACCUCCCGGGAUCAAGCAAUUCUCCUGCCUCAGCUUCCCAAGGAGCCCCAUAUUCUCAUCCUGUGCCCAGCCCCACAAACUAUGACCUACAAGAAGAGUAUGGUGUCCAGAAAGUGAAGAAACUGCUUUCCAGAUGGGGGAAAAGGUCUGUCAACUGUGCCAAAUGCCGAUCUAUAGAUGAAGAUAAGAAGUGCUCAUUGUCUCCACAUUCCAAAGAGGGCAGCCAGCGAUUUGGUUACCACCUCUCUAAACUAAGAGGUAAGGAAUUAUUCUAUCUACAAUCCCUAAUUCAAAAAAACAAUAACUUUUCAGGACAAUGUUUGUGGAGAGAGGCUUUCCUGCUCACUCAUCUGUGUUUACUUUCUAUUCACCACCAUGCCCAGUGAUGACGCCUGAAGGUUAGGGAUC
Long non-coding RNA from Callithrix jacchus (white-tufted-ear marmoset), 583 nucleotides. RefSeq lists it as uncharacterized. Lineage: Eukaryota; Metazoa; Chordata; Mammalia; Primates; Cebidae. The record is from RefSeq and is a predicted model, not a curated record.